UACGUAGGGUGCGAGCGUUGUCCGGAAUUACUGGGCGUAAAGAGCUCGUAGGUGGUUUGUCGCGUUGUUCGUGAAAACUCACAGCUUAACUGUGGGCGUGCGGGCGAUACGGGCAGACUGGAGUACUGCAGGGGAGACUGGAAUUCCUGGUGUAGCGGUGAAAUGCGCAGAUAUCAGGAGGAACACCGGUGGCGAAGGCGGGUCUCUGGGCCGAUACUGACGCUGAGGAGCGAAGCGUGGG
RNAcentral lists this ribosomal RNA (241 nucleotides) under uncultured bacterium. Its description in RNAcentral is "partial 16S ribosomal RNA". It matches the Rfam family "Bacterial small subunit ribosomal RNA", at positions 524 to 765 of the family's 1533-position model. The record is from RNAcentral.